Molecule: long non-coding RNA, 983 nt
Organism: Aegilops tauschii subsp. strangulata
Lineage: Eukaryota; Viridiplantae; Streptophyta; Magnoliopsida; Poales; Poaceae
Source: RefSeq, a predicted model, not a curated record
UAGGCGACCUAGGUCACAUGCGGCCGGAGGGACUUGCCCUUGGCCCGACAUUGCAGCGGGCGAGUUAGUCCCAUGCCUGGCAAACGAUGCCUUCUAGUGCACACAUUGAUCGGGAAGGAGCGGGUUGAUCGGGAAGGAGUGAAAGGGGGCUGGGCGGAAUGGUUUUAAUGCAUUCACCUCGUUUAAUGGGGAACAAUUUGUGACACAUAUUGUUCGACUUGCAAAUUGAUUACUGGAAAGUACCUAAUAGUCUAAAACCGAAUGAAAAGAAGGAGCAAGGCGUGGAAACUGUCCCUUAAUGUCAUCAUAUAUAAGAUUAUAGCAUUAAAUAAGGACCGUCUUAACAUUUAGGCCUCGUUUGGUAGGAGACGAUCGAGGGGUUUUUGAAGGCAAUUUCCUCGCGUGGCCCAGAAACCCCACAGAACCGCGAGGGCCCAUUUGGUACGCGGAUAUUCGACGGCCCAACCCCCUCCGACCCCCUCCUACACCCUCCUUUCCACGCGGUACAGAACCCUCGAGGGGGGCCUCGCGGAUUUGGGAGGAACGACACCACGCCGCCGCCGCCUGCUCACCGCGCCACCGCUCGAUUCCUCCACAACACGCCGUCGAACGACAUCUCUAUGCCGGCGUACCUCCUCCGCCAUACUGGCCUUCUCCUCGGUGGUUGAGAAGUGGAACAAAGCAGAGGAAGAAUGGGACGUUUGCAGGGUCCCUCGAAAUCGUCUCUAUUUGAGAGUCUCGUCAGUUGCUUUUGUGUCGACGCUAUUGUUGUCAGCAUGCUUAAAUGUACGCAUGUCUUAUGUAUUCUCAGCAUGCUUAAAUGUACGCAUGUCUUUCCUCGGACUUGUGAAUGCCAAAAACGUACGAGAUAUUUUUGGUUCCAAGUCAUGCUGAUGUGAGCGAUUAUGUUGCUGUUAUGUGACAUUGCAAUUAUGUGAUGAUAUAUUGGUUCCAAGUCAAGCAAAUUAUGUUGUUCAUGUGAA